Xenopus laevis (African clawed frog) is the source of this 352-nucleotide long non-coding RNA. RefSeq lists it as uncharacterized. The transcript has 2 exons. The record is from RefSeq and is a predicted model, not a curated record. NCBI's taxonomy places the organism in Eukaryota, Metazoa, Chordata, Amphibia, Anura, Pipidae.
UCAGUGCCCUGCUUUGUUAUGUUCAACAAAUUGGACGGAGCAUAAAGAUGGAAUGUAAUGAGUCUGAAACCAACUGCUAUUCAAUUACGGAAACAGGCGUUGUCGACAAGGGAUGCGCAACUGAUGAUCUGUGCAACAAAGUUCUGAACUCAAAAAAUUGCUGUAAGACCUACUUGUGCAACAAGUGAGCACACCAAUUGGCUGCAGUGCCUCCAGCUGAAAUGCAUCAUUCUAAAGAAAGUGCAGAUAUCUCCUGAUCAUCUCCAGAUAUUGUGUUCAUCCUUCUAUUGUACAGCACUGCAGCACAUGUUGACGCUUUUUAGCAUUAUAAUAAAAUGAAAGCAUAAUAAUA